CAAGAAGUAGUUUACAGAAAAUGAUAACUUUGGGAGUUAUUGACCGGGCACCCCUGUUUCUUGA
RNAcentral lists this transfer RNA (64 nucleotides) under Iphione sp. YZ-2018. RNAcentral's name for it is "tRNA-Pro". The record is from RNAcentral. Lineage: Eukaryota; Metazoa; Annelida; Polychaeta; Phyllodocida; Iphionidae.